UUUCAGCACUGCAGAGCCAAGCUCUCAACACAAACUUGAACCUGCUAUUCCCUGUGCCCAAGGCUCUCCUUGCAACUUCUGCUUUAUGGUUCAAAUCUUUUAUCCUUUUGAUUCAGAGAUCCCCUCAAAUCCCAGGACCUCAGGCCCUUCACCUCGACGUGGAUCGGUCUGGAACUAUGGACUAAAGAUUCGGCUUAGGUUUUAACUUGCAUCUAGGCUCACUUGGGACAGCACUAUUGUCAGGUUCCUGCAGUGGGGUACGGGUGGGGUGUCCCAAGUCCUCUUAGUCCCAGUCCAGAAGGUAGAUGCCCGUCCGGAGCGCCCUCUGGGGGACCUCGGGGUACCGAUCUCCAGUGCAGACGCAAGGCGUCGGGAAGUGCGCACCCAAGUGCGGGGUCGGGCGUGAUCAAUGGGGAAAUGAUUCACGCUGGAGGAUCGGGACCCAGAGGCAGGGAGUCCUGGACUUCCUGGGGACUGAGUAAGGACCUGAAGGAUCCAGACUAAGGAUGCAUUUCAUCCCGCACCGUAGACUUAAGACUGGGACCUGUUCGCAGCCCCGCCACACUGUUAGUGACCCGGCUGCAGUCCCCGCCCGGUCUUUCCUGCUCCCCCGCGGUCUCGGUCUCUAGCCCCCGGGCUCCCCCGACUUCCCUGGCUCCAGUGAGCGUCCGCAUACCCAGGUUCCCAAACUGCCCCGUCCCUUCUCCCGCCCCGUCGGUGCGGUCUCACCACUGGCCCCAGGUGCUCAGCCGCCCUCGGGCGGUUAAGCGGAGCGGGGGUUGGGCUGUGGCCCGGGCGCUCACCUUGGAGGAGUCCGAGGCAGAGCCACAGGCGCAGGUUCAGCGCAGCGCCCGGCUGCAUCUCCGGCCCCUGGGCGCGGGUGGGACCUGCGCGGCCGCA
This 900-nucleotide long non-coding RNA is filed under the name Rattus norvegicus (Norway rat). Its description in RNAcentral is "long non-coding RNA NONRATT005380". The record is from RNAcentral. Lineage: Eukaryota; Metazoa; Chordata; Mammalia; Rodentia; Muridae.